Leptonychotes weddellii (Weddell seal) is the source of this 457-nucleotide non-coding RNA. The record is from RefSeq and is a predicted model, not a curated record. Lineage: Eukaryota; Metazoa; Chordata; Mammalia; Carnivora; Phocidae.
ACAGAAAUAACAUGGAAGAACUAGAGCAUAUACCGUCUUUGCCACUCAUCUAAAUUAAGCCUGUAGCUCACAAAACAGGGAACCUGGAAGAGAAGAAGGAAAAAAAAAUUUUCCUCCCCUCUAAUGACAUGAAGUAGACUGCGUUCUCAAGAACAACUGUAUGAUACCAUAAAGUGGUCAGCUUCCAACCAACACACCAGAACAAGAUCAUCCACAGGAGAUAACCAUCACUGCAAACAAUGUGAUAAAGAACAUUGAAUUUCUUGGCCAAGAAUUUCAAAAGACUCAACACACAGUGCUCCACAACUGACUGGCACUCAGUCUGAUCUUGGCACCCAGAGGGGAGACCUGUGCUGUUUGGAAGUGACUGCUGCAUAUGUAUUCCCCAAAAUUUCUCUGACCUCUACAUCAUAAAUAAGAACAUUUCAAGUUGCUAGGGGCACCUGGGUAGCUCGGU